RNAcentral lists this ribosomal RNA (818 nucleotides) under uncultured bacterium. Its description in RNAcentral is "bacterial SSU rRNA". It matches the Rfam family "Bacterial small subunit ribosomal RNA", at positions 40 to 848 of the family's 1533-position model. The record is from RNAcentral.
CUACAGGCUUAACACAUGCAAGUCGAGGGGAAACGAUAGAGAAAGCUUGCUUUUUCUAGGCGUCGACCGGCGCACGGGUGAGUAACGCGUAUCCAACCUGCCCAUCACUUGGGGAUAACCUUGCGAAAGUAAGACUAAUACCCAAUGACGUCUCUAGAAGACAUCUGAAAGAGAUUAAAGAUUUAUCGGUGAUGGAUGGGGAUGCGUCUGAUUAGCUUGUUGGCGGGGUAACGGCCCACCAAGGCUACGAUCAGUAGGGGUUCUGAGAGGAAGGUCCCCCACAUUGGAACUGAGACACGGUCCAAACUCCUACGGGAGGCAGCAGUGAGGAAUAUUGGUCAAUGGGCGAGAGCCUGAACCAGCCAAGUAGCGUGCAGGAUGACGGCCCUAUGGGUUGUAAACUGCUUUUAUAAGGGAAUAAAGUGAGCCUCGUGAGGCUUUUUGCAUGUACCUUAUGAAUAAGGACCGGCUAAUUCCGUGCCAGCAGCCGCGGUAAUACGGAAGGUCCGGGCGUUAUCCGGAUUUAUUGGGUUUAAAGGGAGCGUAGGCCGGAGAUUAAGCGUGUUGUGAAAUGUAGAUGCUCAACAUCUGCACUGCAGCGCGAACUGGUUUCCUUGAGUACGCACAAAGUGGGCGGAAUUCGUGGUGUAGCGGUGAAAUGCUUAGAUAUCACGAAGAACUCCGAUUGCGAAGGCAGCUCACUGGAGCGCAACUGACGCUGAAGCUCGAAAGUGCGGGUAUCGAACAGGAUUAGAUACCCUGGUAGUCCGCACGGUAAACGAUGGAUGCCCGCUGUUGGUCUGAAUAGGUCAGCGGCC